RNAcentral lists this ribosomal RNA (1345 nucleotides) under Caroperla siveci. RNAcentral's name for it is "16S ribosomal RNA". The stretch from base 639 to 1345 matches the Rfam family "Archaeal large subunit ribosomal RNA", at positions 1423 to 2823 of the family's 2987-position model. Lineage: Eukaryota; Metazoa; Arthropoda; Insecta; Plecoptera; Perlidae. The record is from RNAcentral.
UAAUUAAAGUCUUAUUGAAUGUAAUAAAGUAAGAGAUUAAAUAUAUUAAUUUAAUAAAAAUAAUUUUAUUGGGUAAUUAAGUUUUUGUAAUUUAUAAUGAUAAAAUUUUAAAGAUGAUAGCAAAAAGUAUUGUGAAAGAAUGAUGAAAGAUUUGAAAAUUUAUUUUAUUAAAAGUAGAUUUAUUUAAUUUUACCUUGUGUAUCAGGGUUUAUCAAAAUUUUUCUAAUUAAUUUAGUUUUCCCGAGUUGAAGAGAGCUAGUUUAAUUUGUUAUUUAAUGUUGAAUAAUUAUUAAAAAAGUUAAAACUGGUAAUGAAAUGUUAUUCGUUCUUCAAGAUAUCUGGUUUUUUCAGAAAUGAAUUUAAUUCAGCUUUUAAAUAUAUUAAUAGCGUAAUUGAUCACGUGAAUAUGAUUGAAAAGUAAUAAUUUGAGGGAUAAGCUUUGAAUUAAAGUGUUAAAAUGAAAUUAAAUAUACAUGAAAUAUAGGCUUGAGAGUAGCUAUUAUUGUGAAAUAGUGUUAUAACUUAUUAUUAAUAAGGUUAUUAUUUUUUAAUAUUUAGCUUUUUAUGAAAAUUUUAGGAUUAAUAAUGGACUCUAGUUUAAUAAUGAUGAAAUUAGUAUAAAAAUUGUGUACACUUAAUAUUUAAUGGAGAGUUUACAUUAAGGAAUUAGGCAAAUUAAUUAGUGCUUGCCUGUUUAACAAAAACAUGGUUUCAUGAGAAAAAAUUUGAAAUCUGACCUGCCCACUGAAAAAUUUAAAGGGCCGCGGUAUUUUGACCGUGCAAAGGUAGCAUAAUCAUUAGUCUUUUAAUUGAAGGCUAGAAUGAAUGGUUGGACAAGGUACUAACUGUCUCAAUGUGAAGGUGAUUAGAAUUUAACUUUUAAGUUAAAAGGCUUAAAUAAUUUUAUGGGACGAGAAGACCCUAUAGAGCUUUAUAGAAAAUUUUAAAUUAAUUAUUUAGAAAAAUUAUAGAUAAUUUGAGGUUUUUUAUUUUAUUGGGGUGAUAGGAAGAUAAAAUAAACUCUUUUUAGUUUAUGGGACAUAGAUUAAUGAGUUAAUUGAUCCAUUGUUAGUGAUUAUAAGAUUGAGUUACCUUAGGGAUAACAGCGUAAUCUUUUUUGAGAGUUCAUAUCGACAAAAAGGAUUGCGACCUCGAUGUUGGAUUAAGAUAAAGUUUGGGCGCAGGAGUUCAAUAUUUUAGGUCUGUUCGACCUUUAAAUUCUUACAUGAUCUGAGUUCAGACCGGCGUAAGCCAGGUCGGUUUCUAUCUUUAAAUUUUUCAGAUGUUUUAGUACGAAAGGACCAAAUAUCUAAAAUAUUUUUUAUUAAUAUGAUAAGUAGUAAUU